Molecule: ribosomal RNA, 112 nt
Filed under: uncultured bacterium
Lineage: Bacteria
Description: partial 16S ribosomal RNA
Rfam family: Bacterial small subunit ribosomal RNA
Source: RNAcentral
CCCGGGCCUUGUACACACCGCCCGUCACACCACGAAAGUUGGCAACACCCGAAGCACGUGGCUUAACCCGCAAGGGGGAGAGCGUUCGAAGGUGGGGCUGGCGAUUGGGGUG